UACGUAGGGUGCAAGCGUUGUCUGGAAUUAUUGGGCGUAAAGAGCUUGUAGGUGGUUUGUCGCGUCUGCUGUGAAAAUCCGAGGCUCAACCUCGGGCCUGCAGUCGAUACGGGCAGACUAGAGUUCGGUAGGGGAGACUGGAAUUCCCGGUGUAGCGGUGAAAUGACGCAGAUAUCGGGAGGAACACCGGUGGCGAAGGCGGUUCUCUGGGCCUUACCUGACACUGAGGAGCGAAAGGCGUGGGGAGCGAACAGG
RNAcentral lists this ribosomal RNA (255 nucleotides) under uncultured bacterium. RNAcentral describes it as "partial 16S ribosomal RNA". It matches the Rfam family "Bacterial small subunit ribosomal RNA", at positions 524 to 776 of the family's 1533-position model. The record is from RNAcentral.